This 660-nucleotide ribosomal RNA is filed under the name uncultured bacterium. Its description in RNAcentral is "bacterial SSU rRNA". It matches the Rfam family "Bacterial small subunit ribosomal RNA", at positions 94 to 788 of the family's 1533-position model. The record is from RNAcentral.
AGUGGCGGACGGGUGAGUAACGCGUGAGAAUCUGCCUUGGGGUCGGGGACAACCACUGGAAACGGUGGCUAAUACCGGAUAAGCCGAUUGGUGAAAGAUUUAUUGCCCGAAGAGGAGCUCGCGUCUGAUUAGCUAGUUGGUGAGGUAAGAGCUCACCAAGGCAGCGAUCAGUAGCUGGUCUGAGAGGACGAUCAGCCACACUGGGACUGAGACACGGCCCAGACUCCUACGGGAGGCAGCAGUGGGGAAUUUUCCGCAAUGGGCGAAAGCCUGACGGAGCAAGACCGCGUGAGGGAGGAAGGCUCUUGGGUUGUAAACCUCUUUUCUCAGGGAAGAAGCUCUGACGGUACCUGAGGAAUCAGCCUCGGCUAACUCCGUGCCAGCAGCCGCGGUAAUACGGAGGAGGCAAGCGUUAUCCGGAAUUAUUGGGCGUAAAGCGUCCGCAGGUGGCGAUUCAAGUCUGCUGUCAAAGCACGGGGCUUAACUCCGUAAAGGCAGUGGAAACUGAAUAGCUAGAGUGCCGUAGGGGUAGAGGGAAUUCCCGGUGUAGCGGUGAAAUGCGUAGAGAUCGGGAAGAACAUCGGUGGCGAAAGCGCUCUACUGGACGGCAACUGACACUCAGGUACGAAAGCUAGGGGAGCGAAUGGGAUUAGAUACCCC